GGCUCAGAACGAACGCUGGCGGCAUGCCUAACACAUGCAAGUCGAACGAAGUCUUCGGACUUAGUGGCGCACGGGUGCGUAACGCGUGGGAAUCUGCCCUUGGGUACGGAAUAACUCAGAGAAAUUUGUGCUAAUACCGUAUAAUGACUUCGGUCCAAAGAUUUAUCGCCCAAGGAUGAGCCCGCGUAAGAUUAGCUAGUUGGUGGGGUAAAAGCCUACCAAGGCGACGAUCUUUAGCUGGUCUGAGAGGAUGAUCAGCCACACUGGGACUGAGACACGGCCCAGACUCCUACGGGAGGCAGCAGUGGGGAAUAUUGGACAAUGGGCGAAAGCCUGAUCCAGCAAUGCCGCGUGAGUGAUGAAGGCCCUAGGGUUGUAAAGCUCUUUUACCCGGGAUGAUAAUGACAGUACCGGGAGAAUAAGCUCCGGCUAACUCCGUGCCAGCAGCCGCGGUAAUACGGAGGGAGCUAGCGUUGUUCGGAAUUACUGGGCGUAAAGCGCGCGUAGGCGGUUUUUUAAGUCAGAGGUGAAAGCCCAGUGCUCAACACUGGAACUGCCUUUGAAACUGGAAAACUUGAAUCUUGCGAGGUCAGUGGAAUUCCGAGUGUAGAGGUGAAAUUCGUAGAUAUUCAGAAGAACACCAGUGAGAACGCGACUGACUGGACUAGUAUUGACGCUGAGUGCGAAAGCGUGAGAGCAACAGAUUAGAUACCCUGAUAGUCCACGCCGUAAACGAUGAUAGCUAGCUGUCCGGGUUCAUAGAACUUGGGUGGCGCAGCUAACGCAUUAGUUAUCCGCUGGGGGAGUACGGUCGCAAGAUAAAACUCAAAGGAACUGACGGGUGUCCUGCACAGCGGGGAACAUGUGGUUUAUUCGAGCACGCGCAAAGCUUACCAGCGUUGACUCCUGAUCCCGAUAAAAGAUCUUUUCUUCAAUCGCUGAUCAUGACAGUGCUGCAUGGCUGUCGUCCCCGUCCUGGAAGGGUAGUUAGUCAUAAAAGGCAACUCAUCCUUAUGCAUGCUCAUUGACUUAAGAUAUCCGCCGGUAUCCGAAAAUGGGGAAGUCAUCCUUGUCUUACGUGCUAUACCUGGUCAAAUCGGGUAAAAGGUGGGAACGC
Molecule: ribosomal RNA, 1117 nt
Filed under: uncultured bacterium
Lineage: Bacteria
Description: bacterial SSU rRNA
Rfam family: Bacterial small subunit ribosomal RNA
Source: RNAcentral